Molecule: non-coding RNA, 196 nt
Organism: Anopheles melas
Lineage: Eukaryota; Metazoa; Arthropoda; Insecta; Diptera; Culicidae
Source: Rfam
UACUUCAUCCAACUCUGAAAUGGGAUGGGAUCCGAAGCCCCUUUGAGGGAUAAUACAGGCUCUCCCAUCCAACUCCUUUUCCGACACGACCUCGUCGUGCAGAGUGGUAACGUGAGUCACCACAUAUUCAAGCUUGGGUACACGGGCUUGACCCAACCCCUUGGACGGAUGGUGGCAUUUGACGAACCAGGAGGGG